RNAcentral lists this long non-coding RNA (611 nucleotides) under Rattus norvegicus (Norway rat). RNAcentral's name for it is "long non-coding RNA NONRATT016737". The record is from RNAcentral. Lineage: Eukaryota; Metazoa; Chordata; Mammalia; Rodentia; Muridae.
GAGUCACAGUCCCAAAGGGAGUGAGUAACUAGCAUAGGGCACUGAAAACUUUGGCCAGGGCAAAAGAUUUCUGAAUGUAUAGAAAGCAAAAAAUCCAUUCAGAAAUCCAGCUCAGGGUGGAUCUGAGGUGUUCCUGGGAGGACACGUGACACUGUAUCAUGUGACUUCCCUGUAGCACCUGGAGAACAGCAGGCACCCAGUGCAUGCUGUCUGGCCAGGGAACACCAAGGGCUGCCCCAGACAACUCUGCUCAAACUCAAGGCUGCUGUGCAUGAAUUGCAGUGUGAAGUUUUCUGCUCUUGGAGAAACAUAAUGGUUUAAUUACAGAGAAGACUCAAGAUGUUCCUACAGCCAUUGCUCAGCGUGUAUGUGUCAGAGUCAAAUAUUGUUGGAUUGUGUUGUAUUGGGAUGUUUCUUUGGAAAACUUUCUAUCUUGAGUUUGAGAUUAGGAAAGAAUUUCCAGCAAUUUUGUUGUAUGGCAUUUAGUAUGCAUUUAGUAUGCAUAAUAUUUAUGCAAAGUGACAUUCUCAGCCUUGAUUAUAAAAUCAAAAUAUCAGUGAACUCUGGAAAACCUUCAUGUUCUCUCUUAUGCGGUAUCAAAUAUUUGGAUC